AACGAACGCUGGCGGCAGGCUUAACACAUGCAAGUCGAGCGCCCUGCAAGGGGAGCGGCAGACGGGUGAGUAACGCGUGGGAACCUACCUGAAGGUACGGAACAACUCCGGGAAACUGGAGCUAAUACCGUAUGUGCCCGAGAGGGGAAAGAUUCAUCGCCUUCAGAUGGGCCCGCGUCAGAUUAGCUAGUUGGUGAGGUAAUGGCUCACCAAGGCGACGAUCUGUAGCUGGCUGAGAGGAUGACCAGCCACACUGGGACUGAGACACGGCCCAGACUCCUACGGGAGGCAGCAGGUGGGGAAUAUUGGACAAUGGGCGCAAGCCUGAUCCAGCCAUGCCGCGUGAGUGAUGACGGCCUUAGGGUUGUAAAGCUCUUUCGCUCGCGACGAUAAUGACGGUAGCGAGAGAAG
Molecule: ribosomal RNA, 411 nt
Filed under: uncultured bacterium
Lineage: Bacteria
Description: bacterial SSU rRNA
Rfam family: Bacterial small subunit ribosomal RNA
Source: RNAcentral